GUCGUGCGGAGACACCAGUGAAGACGUAUUGUGAAACAGGACCGCGGCGCCGUCCUGAUCAGGAAUCCCUCAGGGAUGGGACGCCGGAAAAGCCAUGUCGGACUUUAUGGACCGCGUGGUGACGACGGGACACUGUGUGUACCGAUGACUGAACAGCGUAAGCAGAAGCAGAGGAUCGGACUCCUCGGACAUCCCCAACACAUGAAUGUGAACCCUCAACAGCCUGCCUGAGUGCGUGCGUGCGUGUGUGCGUGUGUGUGUGUGCGUGUGUGUGUGUGUGUGUAGGUGAGCUUCAGCACAGGCCUUGAACUGCCACGCUCCACAGCUGCACUUAGAAGUAGACCUGCGAAACUCCUUCCAGACUUUAUGCACACUCAUCUAAUCUAAAUAAGGGGAUGUCCUUAAACAGACACCAGUUUGCGCCCCUCCGUCCCUCGGUCAGUUUGGGUGCCAAACGUUCCGCGACGGCAGUAAUUAACAUGGGGGACACUUGAAUUCGGGGCUACACUGGACAGUAUGACUAGUUAUAGAUGCUGCUUGGAGAAGUGUUAAAGAGGCAUCUUUUUGUAUUCCUAACCGGUAAUAGCAAGCAGUAUUUUCUGUCUUAUUUUUGUAUUUUGUGCAAUAUUACCACUUUAAUAUGCAAACCCGUCGAGCUGUACGACGCGUCUUAAAGAGACCACGGUCGUCUCUGGUGUUAAACGCUUGUUCACCUCGCCCGCCCUUUUCUCUCGCAGCUUCGUGACUCGUAGCCGUAGACUCGUAGCGUCAAGCUCGUAGAGUCGGCCUGGCGAGAGUUCUAACGUCCGACAGCUUCUUUUCUUUUCUUAUUUAUUCAUUUAUUUAUAUCAGAAAUGUAAUGGAUAACAUUUAAAAGGGACCGACUACGCCAUGGCACAAACUUUUCUAUAGGAAAGUCCUUAAACAAUUUUUACUUAUAUAAAUUUUUUUUUUUUUUUUUUUUUGCUUCGUCUCGUCUUUCGCCUGUUCUGGAAAUAAAUAAAAGCCCAUUAGCCUUUUUUUAAAUUUUAUUUAUUUAUUAAAAAAAAUUUUUGUGCUUCGUCUCGUCUUUCGCCUGUUCUGAAAAUUAAUAAAAGCCCAUUAACCUUUUUUUUUUUUUUUUUUUUUUUUUUUUUUUUGAGACGGUAAAAAUGAUAAGAUUUAAUGCGUUUAAUCUGUUUAGACCGGUAAGCUUUGUUGCAGUGUUUUUAAUUCUAAGCGGCUUUAGUAUCUAGAGUAUCUAGAUCUAGUAUCUAGCCUCUGAGCUCGCGCGAGUUCUGCGUCGAGAGACACUGAGAGGCCCGGGGAAAGAACGAGAGAGACUCCUUCCUCGGCGCCCGGGCGAGUCAUUCUGUAAACACGGCACGACGUGAUAAUCUCUACCGGAGACAGUGAACGCUCAGAACGAUACUUGCACUACCACGUCUUACAGACCUGCCGUGUCUCUCCGUCGCCGCGUCUUUACUUCCAGUUUUCAGUAAAGGAUGUGUAUGAGAUUGUCGAGCCUUCGCUUUGUAUAGAGAUACUUUCUUCUUUUUUUUUUUCUUCUUUCUUUCUUUCUUUCCCUAGAGGCAUAAUAGAAUUUAAUAGCACUGUUAAUGAAAAUGAUAUGAAGUUUAAUUCUAAUUUAACAUAUGUCAAGAUUGUACAUUGAUUUAGCAAUAUUUAAUAAAUCCUCGAAUUCACCUUGAAA
Ictalurus punctatus (channel catfish) is the source of this 1693-nucleotide long non-coding RNA. The record is from Ensembl. NCBI's taxonomy places the organism in Eukaryota, Metazoa, Chordata, Actinopteri, Siluriformes, Ictaluridae.